CUUCCCUUUGAAUACAUCAUGAAUCUAACAAUAAUGUACAGAAUCUCUGUUCUUACAUUGGUUUCGUAUGGAGGGAUUAUAAUGGGAUCAUGUGACAUAAAGCUAGAAAGUUCAUUUAUAAAGAAUUUAUUAGAAAUGGUUUUAAAAAAAGAUUCAGAUAAAUGCUGUAUGUUGCCCAGCGGAAAAAAAACUCCUGCUUUUUCAGCUGUAUUGACACAUAA
This is a long non-coding RNA of Mytilus californianus (California mussel), 221 nucleotides long. RefSeq lists it as uncharacterized. NCBI's taxonomy places the organism in Eukaryota, Metazoa, Mollusca, Bivalvia, Mytilida, Mytilidae. The record is from RefSeq and is a predicted model, not a curated record. The transcript has 3 exons.